GUCUCAGUAGCACAGUGGUUAGCGCACAGCUCCGGAUAGGUUGAGACGCAGGUUCGAUACCCGGCUGAGAUG
Molecule: non-coding RNA, 72 nt
Organism: Nippostrongylus brasiliensis
Lineage: Eukaryota; Metazoa; Nematoda; Chromadorea; Rhabditida; Heligmosomidae
Source: Rfam